UUUUUUUUUGUUUACUUUCUACAUUGUGAAUAUCAUCAAAAUUUGAUUUUUUUUCUCCUUUUAAUUCAGUGUGCAACAAAUUAAUAAUGGAUGAUUCUGAUAGUGUAUAUUAUUCAUGCGAAGAUUUUUCAGAUUCGGAAACAAUUUCAUCCAAUGAUCGUCGUAAAAGACAUUAUCAUUAUCAAAACUGGCGCCAAAUAAAAAUUUUUAAUAAUAAUGAAGAACUUGUGGAAUUUAUUGGUAAAAAUUGGAGUAAGUGGCGUCGAAAUGAUAAUGAGAAAUAUUUGAAACAUUAUUACCGAUGUAACAAGGUAAAAAGAAAAGACAAACAAUGCCGAGCACGCAUCUUUACCUCAUAUGACAAAUUUUCUAAAUUAAUUCAUUUAUAUAAAAACAACGAAAAUCAUAAUUGUGAUAAAAUCAUCACAACAAAUAAACGACUAACAAAAGAAUUGAAAAACAAAAUAAUAUCGUUGAUUGAAGAAAAACAAAAACCAAAACAAAUUUAUGAAAAGCUAAAGAAAGAAGGUAAUGUAUUGAAACGAUCCCAAGUAUAUAGCGUUAUACAACGAAUUAAGCGUGAAAAAUAAACUAAAUAAACUUAAAAAUAUGGCCAAACAAAAAUAAGCUUGGGUGAAUUGGAAAAUUUUCAUUCAUCGUUUAACACACAUCUCUUGGCUAUAAAUGUUGCUAUGACCAUGCUACAAUCUUUUGUAUAUUAUUCACUUUAACUUUCUUUUGUACACUUAUAUAUCGUAUAUACAUAUAUGAUAUAUAUCCAUUAUUUUCUUUAUUAUUAUCUGUCUCAAUAAAUUGAGAUUUAUCAAACAA
Molecule: long non-coding RNA, 831 nt
Organism: Dermatophagoides farinae (American house dust mite)
Lineage: Eukaryota; Metazoa; Arthropoda; Arachnida; Sarcoptiformes; Pyroglyphidae
Source: RefSeq, a predicted model, not a curated record